Molecule: long non-coding RNA, 828 nt
Filed under: Homo sapiens (human)
Lineage: Eukaryota; Metazoa; Chordata; Mammalia; Primates; Hominidae
Description: non-protein coding lnc-BRD3-1:12
Source: RNAcentral
AGGCCCCUUCUUGAUCAUCGCUGGUACGGAUGAGAGCGGCAGUGGGCAUUUGGAAAGCACCUGGGGCCGCGCCCGGGCGCAGUGCCCCCAUGUGGCCUCCCACCCCGGGCGGGCAGGACGAUUCCUGCCCAUCUGGAAGACCAGGAACCUGCGCGUUCACAGGGUUCGGAAGCCCGGGCUGCGCCUUCCCGCGGGGCCGGCUGCCGGGCUGGGGGCUCUUCCCGCCUCUGCAUGCACAGAGCCCGCGGUGCACGAACCUGCUCCCCGCCAGCCCCGCGGACUGGCAGGGCCGCUCUGGAGUCACCCGCGCCCGCUCCGCAGUGCGCAAACUCACUUCGCAGCGGGCUCUCCCGGGGCCAGCCCUUCCCUCCUGGGCGGGCAUUUUCACCUCCAGGUACAAGGGGGUGGUCCCCAGAGGAGGACUCAGGGGCUUAAGGAGAAGCUGAGGCCCGGUCCUCUGGCCUCAACGACUGCACAUUCUCGCCGCCUGCUUCACUUCUUAGAGCCUUGGAGGUAGGCAUGGCCUCCCUAUCCCCUCAGCUAGGCCUGUGGGUAGAAUAACAUACAGUCCCUUAUUCUCCAAUUAAAAAUGGGAACACAGAAUAUGACACAGGAACCCAUGCAAACAAAGGGAUAGAGCAUUUGAAAUAAAAAUGCCAAGGAGGGUGAGGUGAGCGGUUGUCAGAGAGGUGGAACCGGAAGACUGGCAGUUGGUCUGGAGUCCCCUUCCCAGGAAGGACACAGAGAAGGCAAGGUCCCUGUCUGGUCCUUCAGGGCUCCAUAUGGAUUUGUGUGCCCAAGAGGCCGGAUCCCUUGGGCCAGGUGCCC